UACGAAGGGGGCUAGCGUUGUUCGGAAUUACUGGGCGUAAAGCGCGCGUAGGCGGUUUUGCAAGCCAGAGGUGAAAUGCCUGAGCUCAACUUAGGAAUUGCCUUUGGGACUGCGAGGCUUUGAGGACUGGAGAGGUGGGUGGAAUUCCCAGUGUAGAGGUGAAAUUCGUAGAUAUUGGGAAGAACACCAGUGGCGAAGGCGGCUCACUGGCCAGUUUCUGACGCUGCAGCGCGAAAGCGUGGGGAUCAAACAGG
Molecule: ribosomal RNA, 254 nt
Filed under: uncultured bacterium
Lineage: Bacteria
Description: partial 16S ribosomal RNA
Rfam family: Bacterial small subunit ribosomal RNA
Source: RNAcentral